This is a long non-coding RNA of Gymnodraco acuticeps, 815 nucleotides long. RefSeq lists it as uncharacterized. The record is from RefSeq and is a predicted model, not a curated record. The transcript has 5 exons. NCBI's taxonomy places the organism in Eukaryota, Metazoa, Chordata, Actinopteri, Perciformes, Bathydraconidae.
AUGAUGAUGAUGAUGAUGAUGAUGAUGGAGGUGUUGUGCCCCAAAAGAUUCAUGAUGAAAUGAAAAUGAAAUACCACCAACUGCAAAGAAAGCAUCAGGCUCUAACACUAGACCUGGACCAAUGCAAGCAAAAAUCCACAGAAUUGGAGAAUAAUAAGAGUGAGUUGGAACAGGAGGUGGUCACAUACAGAGAGGCAAACCUGACUUUGCAAAACAAUAUCGAUAAACUCCUGAAAGAGGUCUUUUCUCAAAGAUCUGUGACCUCUCGAACCUGUGAGCCAGCCAUUCCACCACUGACACCACCAGGGCAAAACACCACUUCAGAGAGGGAGCCCGAUCAGCCGAUCCAUUGCCCAAGGCAUAUGUAAAAAAAGGAUGGGAAGAUCCACAUUGGAACAGACAUUUGGCUGCGAGAAGAGGUGUGGAGAAAAAUUGAUUCCACAACAAAGGACUCGCUCUUUGUGAAGGAGUUGGCUGUAGCCAUAUGGGGUACAGCAGAGUUAAUGGGAAGAAGUGUGUCUGGAAAGGAAUGCCCGAGCAAAACGACCGAAGCAAAGCCUCCCUUAACCCCAUGCAAGCUUGGGACCGUAAAAGAGUGCUUCAGAGGAUGGCUGAUCAAGCAAAACGUGGAGAAGACCGAGAGGGAGAAGAGGGAGAAGUUGGCCGGUUACUUCAUUUCGCAAAAAAUACAGGACCUCUUGAAAAAGGGGAAGAAACAGUUGAAAUACAAAUCUGAAGGAAUGGGUGUUUGAUGUUUUCCAAUUUGUAUUAAUGUUCAUGUUGUGUGUUAUAAAUGAUGUUCCUGCUUCUAAUCA